UAUUGGUCAAUGGCCGCAGGGCUGAACCAGCCAAGUCGCGUGAGGGAUGACGGUCCUAUGGGUUGUAAACCUCUUUUGUCAGGGAGCAAAGGGCGCCACGUGUGGCGUUUUGCGAGUACCUGAAGAAAAAGCAUCAGCUAACUCCCUGCCAGCAGCCGCGGUAAUACGGAGGCUGCGAGCGUUAUCCGGAUUUAUUGGGUUUAAAGGGUGCGUAGGCGGGCUUUUAAGUCAGCGGUAAAAAUUCGGGGCUCAACCCCGUCCGGCCGUUGAAACUGGGGGCCUUGAGUGGGCGAGAAGAAGGCGGAAUGCGUGGUGUAGCGGUGAAAUGCAUAGAUAUCACGCAGAACCCCGAUUGCGAAGGCAGCCUUCCGGCGCCCUACUGACGCUGAGGCACGAAAGUGCGGGGAUCG
RNAcentral lists this ribosomal RNA (410 nucleotides) under uncultured bacterium. RNAcentral describes it as "bacterial SSU rRNA". It matches the Rfam family "Bacterial small subunit ribosomal RNA", at positions 362 to 770 of the family's 1533-position model. The record is from RNAcentral.